UGGGAUACCCCGUUGAAAGACGGCCUAAUACCCGAUGUAGUUCAUUGAUGGCAUCAGAUAUGAAUAAAGAUUUAUCGGUAAAGGAUGGGGAUGCGUCUGAUUAGCUUGUUGGUGAGGUAAAGGCACACCAAGGCAACGAUCAGUAGGGGUUCUGAGAGGAAGGUCCCCCACAUUGGAGCUGAGACACGGUCCAA
RNAcentral lists this ribosomal RNA (194 nucleotides) under uncultured Bacteroidales bacterium. RNAcentral's name for it is "partial 16S ribosomal RNA". It matches the Rfam family "Bacterial small subunit ribosomal RNA", at positions 139 to 334 of the family's 1533-position model. The record is from RNAcentral. Lineage: Bacteria; Pseudomonadati; Bacteroidota; Bacteroidia; Bacteroidales.